UACGUAGGGUGCAAGCGUUGUCCGGAAUUAUUGGGCGUAAAGAGCUCGUAGGUGGUUCGGUAAGCCGGAUGUGAAAUCUCCAGGCUCAACCUGGAGGGGUCAUUCGAUACUGCCGUGACUAGAGUUCGGUAGAGGAGUGUGGAAUUCCUGGUGGAGCGGUGAAAUGCGCAGAGAUCAGGAGGAACACCCGUAGCGAAGGCGGCACUCUGGGCCGAUACUGACACUGAGGAGCGAAAGCGUGGGGAGCGAACAGG
Molecule: ribosomal RNA, 254 nt
Filed under: uncultured bacterium
Lineage: Bacteria
Description: partial 16S ribosomal RNA
Rfam family: Bacterial small subunit ribosomal RNA
Source: RNAcentral